AAGUCGUAACAAGGUUUCCGUAGGUGAACCUGCGGAAGGAUCAUUAUCGAGUUAAACUCAUAUUUGGCUUGGAUUGGCUGUGCAUGCUCUUCGGAGCGUUGAACGUCAACUCUGGGUUCCGAAUGUUUGACUUACACACCUGUGCACCUUUGACUCGUCCGAAUCCACGCACGCGAUUUGUUUCGCGUACGGUCUGCUCCUUGUGAGUGGGAUUUUUGAGCGUUGCGGUGAGUUGAAAAAUUCAUAGCUCGCUCUGGGAUGAAGACUUGUCUUUUUUUACACCAUUUUGUAUGUCUCUUGAAAAUCCUCGGUUGCUCUGUAAUGGGGUGAUCGUAUUAAAUUAAAUACAACUUUCAGCAACGGAUCUCUUGGCUCUC
Molecule: unclassified non-coding RNA, 377 nt
Filed under: air metagenome
Description: partial contains small subunit ribosomal RNA, internal transcribed spacer 1, and 5.8S ribosomal RNA
Rfam family: Eukaryotic small subunit ribosomal RNA (bases 1-46)
Source: RNAcentral